RNAcentral lists this ribosomal RNA (779 nucleotides) under marine metagenome. RNAcentral's name for it is "bacterial SSU rRNA". It matches the Rfam family "Bacterial small subunit ribosomal RNA", at positions 8 to 801 of the family's 1533-position model. The record is from RNAcentral.
AGAGUUUGAUCCUGGCUCAGGGUGAACGCUGGCGGUGCGCCUAAUGCAUGCAAGUCGAGCGAACCUGUGACUUCGGUCACACAUAGGUUAGCGGCGGACGGCUGAGUAACACGUGAGUAACUUGCCUUUUGGUGGGGUAUAGCCCAGAGAAAUCUGGAUUAAUCCCGCAUAAGAUCUUAGAACCCUGGUUCUUUGAUGAAAGCCUUCGGGCGCCGAAAGAGAGGCUCGCGGACUAUCAGGUAGUUGGUGGGGUAAUGGCCUACCAAGCCUAAGACGGUUAGCUGGUCUGAGAGGAUGAUCAGCCAGAGGGGGACUGAGACACGGCCCCCACUCCUACGGGAGGCAGCAGCAGGGAAUCUUGGGCAAUGGACGAAAGUCUGACCCAGCGACAUCGCGUGGAGGAUGACGGCCUUAGGGUUGUAAACUCCUUUUAUAAGAGAAGAGUAAGGACGGUACCUUAUGAAUAAGCCCCGGCUAACUACGUGCCAGCAGCCGCGGUAAUACGUAGGGGGCGAGCGUUACCCGGAAUCACUGGGCGUAAAGAGAGCGUAGGCGGUUUGGAAAGUCAUUUGUGAAAGCUCCUGGCUCAACUAGGAGAGGUCAAGUGAAACUUCCUGACUUGAGGACGGUAGAGGUAAGCGGAAUUCUUGGUGUAGCGGUGAAAUGCGUAGAUAUCAAGAAGAACACCAGAGGCGAAGGCGGCUUACUGGGCCGUUUCUGACGCUGAGGCUCGAGAGCGUGGGUAGCAAACAGGAUUAGAUACCCUGGUAGUCCACGCC